UCCAGAGAUGGAUUGGUGCCUUCGGGAACUGUGAGACAGGUGCUGCAUGGCUGUCGUCAGCUCGUGUUGUGAAAUGUUGGGUUAAGUCCCGCAACGAGCGCAACCCUUAUCCUUUGUUGCCAGCGGUCCGGCCGGGAACUCAAAGGAGACUGCCAGUGAUAAACUGGAGGAAGGUGGGGAUGACGUCAAGUCAUCAUGGCCCUUACGACCAGGGCUACACACGUGCUACAAUGGCAUAUACAAAGAGAAGCGACC
Molecule: ribosomal RNA, 255 nt
Filed under: Klebsiella pneumoniae
Lineage: Bacteria; Pseudomonadati; Pseudomonadota; Gammaproteobacteria; Enterobacterales; Enterobacteriaceae
Also listed under: 2 other names
Description: partial 16S ribosomal RNA
Rfam family: Bacterial small subunit ribosomal RNA
Source: RNAcentral